Molecule: ribosomal RNA, 253 nt
Filed under: uncultured Comamonas sp.
Lineage: Bacteria; Pseudomonadati; Pseudomonadota; Betaproteobacteria; Burkholderiales; Comamonadaceae
Description: partial 16S ribosomal RNA
Rfam family: Bacterial small subunit ribosomal RNA
Source: RNAcentral
UACGUAGGGUGCAAGCGUUAAUCGGAAUUACUGGGCGUAAAGCGUGCGCAGGCGGUUUUGUAAGACAGAGGUGAAAUCCCCGGGCUCAACCUGGGAACUGCCUUUGUGACUGCAAGGCUAGAGUACGGCAGAGGGGGGUGGAGUUCCGCGUGUAGCAGUGAAAUGCGUAGAUAUGCGGAGGAACACCGAUGGCGAAGGCAACCCCCUGGGCCUGUACUGACGCUCAUGCACGAAAGCGUGGGGAGCAAACAGG